Chinchilla lanigera (long-tailed chinchilla) is the source of this 1172-nucleotide long non-coding RNA. NCBI's taxonomy places the organism in Eukaryota, Metazoa, Chordata, Mammalia, Rodentia, Chinchillidae. The record is from Ensembl.
GAACAGGCCAUUGCACUGCACGUUACAAUGGCCACUAGGAAAUGUCAAUCACAUUCCUCACCAUGGAAUACGUGGCACAGGAUGUCUGAUGAGCAGACUAUUUUCUAGAUCAUUCUCUAGUUGACAAGGUAAGGAUGAGAAAAGUGUAAGCUUACAAGAUUAUCAAACUUCUUUUCCUUCAUUUUUCCUUUUUUUUUUUUUUUAAAUAGCAAACAGAAACGAGUUAUUCAUUUAAAAAUCCAAUUUAAUUUAAAAAGUCAGUUUGUAGUUUUGGUAAUAUUUAUGCCUAGAAACUUUAGAUUCUUUUUUUUAAUUGUUGCAUAAUUCAUGUUAAGUAUGUGUACGCUUUAAAUGGCAUUUGUGAGAAGUUAGCCUUCUUCGCUGUAACAAAUGCCUGAAUCCAUGACAUCCAAGGAGGACAAUUUUAUUUUGACUCACAGAUUCAGAGAAGUCAGCCCAUAGUCGCUCGGGAAUGUAGCUUUGGGUCUCCAGUGUCAUGGGGGAGGAGCUACUCACCUCCUAGAAGGCAGGAAUUUCAGAGAAAGAAGAGCGGCCAUGAUGGUGAUUUCUUCUUCAAUGGCAGACCUAUGACUUCACUUUAGUCUCAUACGCCCCAGCUGCGGAAGUUAUUCUCAGGAGUGCCACAGGCUGGUGACACACCUUUAAAACUUGAGGGAAGGCACUCAAGAUGUGAACAACAGCAACACUAUUUCCAAUACUCGAAUUUUUACCUUCUAUGGAGUACAAAUGCCAAGCCCGGAUGUUCUUCACUCAGGAUUUUCUUUCCCUCUUUUUUUUUUUUUUUUUUUUUUUUUUUUUUUUUUUUUUUUUUUUUUUUCGGUCUUUUUUUUGGUUUUUCUCAAGUACCGGGAACCGAACUCACGACCUUGUGCUUGCCAGGCAGGCGCUUUGCCGCUGAGCUAAAUCGCCAGCCCUUGUUCUUUCCUUCUUUACAUUUAAUGUUAUUUGAAGCCCUGCUUCCCUCUCUGUUUUGCGUCCUCGGAAUCAGCACUUUGCCUGUUCUGUACAUCAGCGCCGCACUCAGCAACACUUCUGGCUUCCUCAGGGGAUGAGAGCAGCGAGAGAGAAGACACUAUCCUCACCAGAAAGCUAGACAUUUCAAAAAACAAUUUUUUUUUCCUGUGCUUCAUAUUUUGAUGCAGAGAUUUGUG